CAUAAAAAUACAGAAAACGAGGAGACUAAAGAAAUGAGAAGCAAACAUCAGAAGAAAAUUGCUCAGAAAAAUGCCACAAUUAGAGAUCUAGAGGAAGAGAACCUAUUUUUAGCAAAUGAAAUUGAAAGCCUUCUGGAGAAAAACAAAUACUUGAAGGAGAAACUUCUCCAAAGUGAAGGAAGCCCUGUCUGGUAGGAAGAAGGCCAUCAAAGUGAGAUGGCUGGAAAAACACCAAGGAAAACACAGGUUUUCAGCAUAAUCUAUUCGAUUUCUCAAGUUUUGAAUGCUCUCCUGGAAUGCUGGGUCGGAGAAGAUUAGUGCUAUCUUCCACUAUCAGCUAGAUUUCUCUCAGCUUUGUUUAAAACCUGUAUGAAAGCUUGAAAAAGUUCUUGGAAUAAAGUUACUUUUCCAAUCA
Molecule: long non-coding RNA, 415 nt
Organism: Pantherophis guttatus
Lineage: Eukaryota; Metazoa; Chordata; Lepidosauria; Squamata; Colubridae
Source: RefSeq, a predicted model, not a curated record